GAUCAAUGGAAAUAGUGUUUUUUCUGUAAUAGGGAUGUAUUGAUCAAUGGGUCAGAGACAUGGGAGGAAUGUGUCUAGGCAUCGAGCCUGAAUUAGGAUACUUGUUAUUUGGCCAUUGGUCCUGUUUUAUUGCAAGGAAUUAUAAUUGGUCAACCACAGGCUAGGGCUGGGUUAUAAACUACAUCCUGUCCCUAUGUUCUGUGGAUAGAAUCACAGGAGAGAAUCACUGACGAGAGAAUCACUGAGGACAGAGAAGGAACGGCCAUCUACCUCUCAACAUAACAUCUAUGAUUUAUCCUCUCUGAAUAAACCUAUUUUCCUCCACCUGAUUUGCUUUGGGGUCUGUGUUAUUAUAGAAUAACUUCAACUUCUAACAUUUGGUGCCGUGACCCGGAUGAAUUGGUCUGAACAACAACAAGAAAAAACGUAUCAACUGUGUGUUGCUCCUGAAGAAAGAGAGAAGGCUGAGCGCAACCCAUUUUGGGGAGUCAACUCUCCUGAUUGGUGGCAUAAUUGCUGGGUUAUGAGAAUCUACAGUCUGAAGCUGAAGCAAUAUCCCUUGAACCAAGGACUCUACCUGAAAUGAUACAAGAUCACCGGUGAAGUGUUCAUUAGAAAAGUCCUUAACCCGUGGAAUGGGAGAAGAAUUCCUCACUACCGGCAGACUGUCAGAACAUCAUUUCUAAUAGUUAUCAAUGUGGGACUGAUGCCAGUGAGGAGGAGCUGGUCACUUUUAAAGGACUUGGUGAAUGAUUACUUGCCAAUAGGACGAUUGAAUAUGAUUUUCUUGUAGACGUUUUUGUGUGUGUGAGUUUCCUCCUAAUACAGGAUGUGGUGCGAAUCAUCAUUACACCUGAUUGUUAAUAGUUAUUUUCUAUAACUUUGUUUUAAAUCUAUUUCUUAUUGUAACAGCAAGUACAAUAUGCCCUUUGUGUUUUAUAGAAAUGCAAGGUGUUUUAAUGGUAGUGAUUUUAUGCUUACGGCUAAUGUUUUUUAUACUGUCUAUUUUUUCUGUUUUCUAAAAAAUACAUUUUUAAGUAGAUUUAUUUCUAAAAUGGUCUAGAGGGGAGUAUAAGAAUAUUUAGAAGAUAAAUACACAAUGCAGAGACAGAGGAUGAGAGAUUAAUAGUGUACUAACGAUCAAUGGAAAUAGUGUUUUUUCUGUAAAAGGGAAUUAUUGAUCAAUGGGUCAGAGACAUGGGAGGAAUUUGUCUAGACAUCAAGCCUGAAAUAGGAUACGUGUUAUUUGGCCAUUGGCCCUGUUUUAUUGCAAGGAAUUCUAAUUGGUCAACCACAUGCUAGGGCUGGGUUAUAACCUACAACCUGUCCCUAUGUUCUGUGGAUAGAAUCACAGGAGAGAAUCACUGAGGACAGAGAAGGAACGGCCAUCUACCUCUCAACAUAACAUCUAUGAUUUAUCCUCUUUGAAUAAACCUAUUUUUCUUCCCCUGA
Molecule: long non-coding RNA, 1452 nt
Organism: Oncorhynchus masou masou (cherry salmon)
Lineage: Eukaryota; Metazoa; Chordata; Actinopteri; Salmoniformes; Salmonidae
Exons: 2
Source: RefSeq, a predicted model, not a curated record